This 253-nucleotide ribosomal RNA is filed under the name uncultured bacterium. RNAcentral describes it as "partial 16S ribosomal RNA". It matches the Rfam family "Bacterial small subunit ribosomal RNA", at positions 524 to 776 of the family's 1533-position model. The record is from RNAcentral.
UACAGAGGGUGCGAGCGUUAAUCGGAAUUACUGGGCGUAAAGCGUGCGUAGACGGUUUCGUAAGUCGGGUGUGAAAUCCCCGGGCUCAACCUGGGAAUUGCAUUCGAAACUGCGAGGCUAGGGUACGGAAGAGGGAAGCGGAAUUUCCGGUGUAGCGGUGAAAUGCGUAGAUAUCGGAAGGAACAUCAGUGGCGAAAGCGGCUUCCUGGUCCAGCACCGACGUUCAGGCACGAAAGCGUGGGGAGCAAACAGG